GACAGCAGCCGCCGCGGGAAAACGUAGGUGGCAAGCGUUGUCCGGAAUUAUUGGGCGUAAAGGGCUCGCAGGCGGUUUCUUAAGUCUGAUGUGAAAGCCCCCGGCUCAACCGGGGAGGGUCAUUGGAAACUGGGAAACUUGAGUGCAGAAGAGGAGAGUGGAAUUCCACGUGUAGCGGUGAAAUGCGUAGAGAUGUGGAGGAACACCAGUGGCGAAGGCGACUCUCUGGUCUGUAACUGACGCUGAGGAGCGAAAGCGUGGGGAGCGAACAGGAUUAGAUACCCCCGUAGUCCCUGUCUCUUAUAC
Molecule: ribosomal RNA, 306 nt
Filed under: uncultured bacterium
Lineage: Bacteria
Description: partial 16S ribosomal RNA
Rfam family: Bacterial small subunit ribosomal RNA
Source: RNAcentral